This 253-nucleotide ribosomal RNA is filed under the name uncultured bacterium. RNAcentral describes it as "partial 16S ribosomal RNA". It matches the Rfam family "Bacterial small subunit ribosomal RNA", at positions 524 to 776 of the family's 1533-position model. The record is from RNAcentral. RNAcentral also lists the same sequence under 1 other name.
UACGAAGGAUGCAAGCGUUAUCCGGAUUUAUUGGGUUUAAAGGGUGCGUAGGCGGACUUAUAAGUCAGUGGUGAAAUCUCGAUGCUUAACAUCGAACGUGCCAUUGAUACUGUAGGUCUUGAGUACAGAUGCCGUUGGCGGAAUGUGUCAUGUAGCGGUGAAAUGCAUAGAUAUGACACAGAACACCGAUUGCGAAGGCAGCUGACGAAACUGUAACUGACGCUGAGGCACGAAAGCGUGGGGAUCAAACAGG